CACACGACCGUACCGCAAACCGACACUGGUGCGCGAGAUGAGUAUUCUAAGGCGCUUGAGAGAACUCAGGAGAAGGAACUCGGCAAAUUGACACCGUAACUUCGGAAGAAGGUGUGCCUUUAGUAGGUGAAGUCCCUCGCGGAUGGAGCCCAAUGAGGUUGCAAAGAAUCGGUGGCUGCGACUGUUUAUUAAAAACACAGCACUCUGCAAACACGAAAGUGGACGUAUAGGGUGUGACGCCUGCCCGGUGCUGGAAGAUUAAAUGAUGAGGUGCAAGCUCUUGAUUGAAGUCCCAGUAAACGGCGGCCGUAACUAUAACGGUCCUAAGGUAGCGAAAUUCCUUGUCGGGUAAGUUCCGACCUGCACGAAUGGCGUAACGAUGGCCACACUGUCUCCUCCUGAGACUCAGCGAAGUUGAAAUGUUUGUGAUGAUGCAAUCUCCCCGCGGAAAGACGGAAAGACCCCAUGAACCUUUACUGUAGCUUUGUAUUGGACUUUGAGCAGAUCUGUGUAGGAUAGGUGGGAGGCUUUGGAGCAGGGUCGCUAGGUCUUGUGGAGCCAACGUUGAAAUACCACCCUGGUGUGUUUGAGGUUCUAACCUAGGCCCGUAAUCCGGGUUGGGGACAGUGCAUGGUAGGCAGUUUGACUGGGGCGGUCUCCUCCCAAAGUGUAACGGAGGAGUUCGAAGGUACGCUAGUUACGGUCGGACAUCGUGACGAUAGUGCAAUGGCAUAAGCGUGCUUAACUGCGAGACUGACAAGUCGAGCAGAUGCGAAAGCAGGACAUAGUGAUCCGGUGGUUCUGUAUGGAAGGGCCAUCGCUCAACGGAUAAAAGGUACUCUGGGGAUAACAGGCUGAUACCGCCCAAGAGUUCAUAUCGACGGCGGUGUUUGGCACCUCGAUGUCGGCUCAUCUCAUCCUGGGGCUGUAGCCGGUCCCAAGGGUAUGGCUGUUCGCCAUUUAGAGAGGUACGUGAGCUGGGUUUAAAACGUCGUGAGACAGUUUGGUCCCUAUCUUCCGUGGGCGCUGCAGAUUUGAGGAAGCCUGCUCCUAGUACGAGAGGACCGGAGUGGACGCACCUCUGGUGUAUCGGUUGUCACGCCAGUGGCAUUGCCGAGUAGCUAUGUGCGGAAGAGAUAACCGCUGAAAGCAUCUAAGCGGGAAACUCGUUUCAAGAUGAGAUCUGCCGGGGCCUUGAGCCCCCUGAAGAGUCGUUCAAGACCAGGACGUUGAUAGGUCGGGUGUGGAAGCGCAGUAAUGCGUUAAGCUAACCGAUACUAAUUGCUCGUGCGGCUUGACCCU
RNAcentral lists this ribosomal RNA (1302 nucleotides) under metagenome. RNAcentral's name for it is "bacterial LSU rRNA". It matches the Rfam family "Bacterial large subunit ribosomal RNA", at positions 1635 to 2925 of the family's 2925-position model. The record is from RNAcentral.